UACACAUGCAGUCGACGAGAGACUCUUCGGAGUAGUAAAGUGGCGAACGGGUGAGUAAUACAUGGGUAAUCUGCCUUUGAGCGGGGGAUAACCAGCCGAAAGGCUGGCUAAUACCCCAUACGCUUCCGGUCCCUCGGGUAAGGAAGGAAAGCCGCAUCGUGGAUGUGGCACUCGAAGAUGGGCUCAUGGCCUAUCAGCUUGUUGGUGGGGUAACGGCCCACCAAGGCUACGACGGGUAGCUGGUCUGAGAGGACGAUCAGCCACACUGGCACUGAGAUACGGGCCAGACUCCUACGGGAGGCAGCAGUGAGGAAUAUUGCGCAAUGGGCGAAAGCCUGACGCAGCGACGCCGCGUGGGGGAAGAAGGUUUUCGGAUUGUAAACCCCUUUUAGGAGGAAAGAUGGGGUGGGUUUCCACCCGGACGGUACCUCCAGAAAAAGCCACGGCUAACUUCGUGCCAGCAGCCGCGGUAAUACGAAGGUGGCGAGCGUUGUUCGGAUUUACUGGGCGUAAAGAGCACGUAGGCGGUUUAGUAAGCCCCUUGGGAAAGCUAUGGGCUUAACCCAUAAAGGUCGAGGGGGACUGCUAAGCUAGAGGGCGGGAGAGGAGCGCGGAAUUUCCGGUGUAGCGGUGAAAUGCGUAGAUAUCGGGAAGAAGCCGGUGGCGAAGCGGCGCUCUGGAACGUCUCUGACGCUGAGUGCGAAAGCGUGGGGAGCAAACAGGAUAGAUACCCUGGUAGUCCACGCCGUAACGAUGGGUACUAAGUGUCGGCAGUUACUGUCGGUGCCGCAGUUAACGCAGUAGUACCCCGCCUGGGG
This 818-nucleotide ribosomal RNA is filed under the name uncultured bacterium. RNAcentral's name for it is "bacterial SSU rRNA". It matches the Rfam family "Bacterial small subunit ribosomal RNA", at positions 50 to 878 of the family's 1533-position model. The record is from RNAcentral.